RNAcentral lists this ribosomal RNA (497 nucleotides) under uncultured bacterium. RNAcentral's name for it is "partial 16S ribosomal RNA". It matches the Rfam family "Bacterial small subunit ribosomal RNA", at positions 28 to 507 of the family's 1533-position model. The record is from RNAcentral.
GAUGAACGCUGGCGGCGUGCCUAAUACAUGCAAGUCGAGCGAACGGACGAGAAGCUUGCUUCUCUGAUGUUAGCGGCGGACGGGUGAGUAACACGUGGAUAACCUACCUAUAAGACUGGGAUAACUUCGGGAAACCGGAGCUAAUACCGGAUAAUAUUUUGAACCGCAUGGUUCAAAAGUGAAAGACGGUCUUGCUGUCACUUAUAGAUGGAUCCGCGCUGCAUUAGCUAGUUGGUAAGGUAACGGCUUACCAAGGCAACGAUGCAUAGCCGACCUGAGAGGGUGAUCGGCCACACUGGAACUGAGACACGGUCCAGACUCCUACGGGAGGCAGCAGUAGGGAAUCUUCCGCAAUGGGCGAAAGCCUGACGGAGCAACGCCGCGUGAGUGAUGAAGGUCGUCGGAUCGUAAAACUCUGUUAUUAGGGAAGAACAUAUGUGUAAGUAACUGUGCACAUCUUGACGGUACCUAAUCAGAAAGCCACGGCUAACUACGUG